AGUCUGAACCAGCCAAGUAGCGUGCAGGAUGACGGCCCUAUGGGUUGUAAACUGCUUUUGCGCGGGGAUAACACCCUCCACGUGCUGGGGGGCUGCAGGUACCGCGCGAAUAAGGACCGGCUAAUUCCGUGCCAGCAGCCGCGGUAAUACGGAAGGUCCGGGCGUUAUCCGGAUUUAUUGGGUUUAAAGGGAGCGUAGGCCGUGAGGUAAGCGUGUUGUGAAAUGUAGGCGCCCAACGUCUGCACUGCAGCGCGAACUGCCCCACUUGAGUGCGCGCAACGCCGGCGGAACUCGUCGUGUAGCGGUGAAAUGCUUAGAUAUGACGAAGAACCCCGAUUGCGAAGGCAGCUGGCGGGAGCGUAACUGACGCUGAAGCUCGAAAGCGCGGGUAUCGAACAGGAUUAGAUACCCUGGUAGUCCGCGCGGUAAACGAUGGAUGCCCGCUGUGGCGCGCCUGGCGUGCCGCGGCUAAGCGAAAGCAUUAAGCAUCCCACCUGGGGAGUACGCCGGCAACGGUGAAACUCAAAGGAAUUGACGGGGGCCCGCACAAGCGGAGGAACAUGUGGUUUAAUUCGAUGAUACGCGAGGAACCUUACCCGGGCUUGAACUGCAGGAGAACGAUUCAGAGAUGAUGAGGUCCUUCGGGACUCCUGUGGAGGUGCUGCAUGGUUGUCGUCAGCUCGUGCCGUGAGGUGUCGGCUUAAGUGCCAUAACGAGCGCAACCCCUCUCCGUAGUUGCCAUCGGGUGAUGCCGGGCACUCUGCGGACACUGCCACCGUAAGGUGUGAGGAAGGUGGGGAUGACGUCAAAUCAGCACGGCCCUUACGUCCGGGGCCACACACGUGUUACAAUGGCCGUCACAGAGGGGAGCCGGGCGACCGGCUCAUGAUCCUUAAAAACGGUCUCAGUUCGGACUGGGGUCUGCAACCCGACCCCACGAAGCUGGAUUCGCUAGUAAUCGCGCAUCAGCCAUGGCG
Molecule: ribosomal RNA, 977 nt
Filed under: human gut metagenome
Description: bacterial SSU rRNA
Rfam family: Bacterial small subunit ribosomal RNA
Source: RNAcentral